This 412-nucleotide long non-coding RNA is filed under the name Coffea arabica (coffee). RNAcentral describes it as "long non-coding RNA (CARA_LNC005412)". Lineage: Eukaryota; Viridiplantae; Streptophyta; Magnoliopsida; Gentianales; Rubiaceae. The record is from RNAcentral.
UAGAUUGUAGUAGGCCUUCCCCCCUAAAAAUGUAAUAGUUAGGGCCUUAAUUGCCUUAUGUGUGUUGCAUGCUUAGGUGCUAUGUGUUUAAUCGCUUUUUCUUAGGUUUUGGCAUCUAGAUAAGUAUGCUUAUGUGCUAUGUGUUAUGUGAAAAUACGUGCCUUGCAUGUCUACUUGCUUUUAUUUAUAUUUGCUUAUAUAGAUGAAUGUACGUCACCGUGGCUAGUCCAAUGCUAGUCAUGGUCUUCCCCCUCGAACUCUCGCAAGUCCAAUGCUUGUGAAAAAGCGUUAGUGAAGGGUUAGUCCAAUGCUAGACCCAUUAGGGCCGUCCCCGCGCUAGCACAUACUUGCAUGCCUUCAUUACAUCUUCAUUCAUUCUUUCCUUUUAGUUUUACAUUUUGCAUGACCCUUC